Molecule: long non-coding RNA, 283 nt
Filed under: Panax ginseng (ginseng)
Lineage: Eukaryota; Viridiplantae; Streptophyta; Magnoliopsida; Apiales; Araliaceae
Description: long non-coding RNA (PGIN_LNC005683)
Source: RNAcentral
AAUUUGAUAAGUAUCUGGAAAACAAAUCCCUAAAAACUAGGCUAAUAAUCUGCCUAAUAUUUUAGGAAACAAAAUCUUUUCCCUAAAAUCCCAAAAUCCUUGUCACGCUAGGAUCUUUUUCCGCGUGAAACUUGCUUCUUUCCUUUGCAUGCAAUCUGAUUAUGUAAAGUUAUAAAGGCCCACGUAAUACUAACUUUAAUUUUCAAACUUGAUGGUUAUAAAGCAUAUGAUAAUAUGUUGCCCACAUGUGAAUAACUUGCUGAUCAAGAUUGUAUCAGUAACC